CUCCCCUCAUCUUUUCUUUGUAAGUUACGUCUCAGUCAGACCUCUAAUCUUCGGCACUUCUGUGAUCUGUUUGUGCCGUAAAACUUUUACUAAAACUAUAACAAAUCGUUGUUUCUUCCUAGACAUAGUGUUUGAACAAAAUAAUAUAUACCUAGCGUAGUACACAGAUUAAAAGUUGGCCGAAUCCCGAAGGAAAAUUUCUUGCUUUUUUUCAUUGCCCAAAAUACAUGUCGUUGUAGAAUCUGUGGUACAAUGGUGGCGUGGGUGGUCUGGUGGUUAGGUUACCGCAAUCCUUGGAUUGUGGGUGUCUGGUGGUUAGGUUACCGGACUCGCAAUCCUUGGAUUGUGGGUGUCUAGUAGUUAGGUUACCGGACUCGCAAUCCUUGGAUUGUGGGUGUCUAGUGGUUAGGUUACCGGACUCGCAAUCCUUGGAUUGUGAGUGUCUAGUGGUUAGGUUACCGGGCUCGCAAUCCUUGGAUUGUGGGUGGCGUGGGUGGUCUGGUGGUUAGGUUACCGGACUCGCAAUCCUUGGAUUGUGGGUGUCUAGUGGUUAGGUUACCGGACUCGCAAUCCUUGGAUUGUGGGUGUCUAGUGGUUAGGUUACCGGACUCGCAAUCGUUAGACUGUGACGUAGGUAGUCUAGUGGUAAGGUUACCGGACUCGCAAUCGUUAGACUACUGGUUCGGGGGUUCGAGCCUCAGCUCGGCCCGUCGCCAGGGUCCUUGGGAAAGGAAAAACACUUGACACUUCCCCCAUUGACUGGCUCGUUCCUUUCGUUGAGAGAGACGGUAAACUCGGAGGUCCCGCCUUUUAAAUAACCUAAUACUAAUACAAUAGUGCUGACAGGGGCGUUAAACCUCUACCUUUAAUUUUGCCACUUUUUUGUGAUAUCAUUCCCGGUCUUUGUCCAGGAUUAGAGAAGUGACGUGGGACAAGACUCUUUAGGGCUGGGCAAUGGGUCGCUUUAGCAAAAUCCGGAUAUUAAUUAUGUUAGUGCACCUCUUCGGCAAACGGGUCAGGAAAGAAGGUUAAGAGUCUUAAUCCGGAUAAUGUUUCAUUGAGAAUUAUCCGGUUGUCCAUGUAGAUUAUCCGGAUUUCGCCCACCUCUGCUUUCAGUGAAGUUGCACCUGUUGACCUGGCACUGUAAGGGGAAUCAACUCACUGUUAUCCCUCUCUCCUACCUUAGGCCAUAUUACUGCCCUUGAAGCAAAUGAAGCGUUUCCUUUUGUUGGCAAAUUUCUGCUUUAACUAAAAUGCCAAAUACAUUUUUACGACUUGGUUGAAUACUACUAUUAUUAUAACGAUAUUUCGUCUUGAUCUCAUGACCAUGUUUUAAAUAUCAUGUUUUUGUUCUGUCCCUCUGUCAAUAAAUGUUCCGAAAUGAGC
Molecule: long non-coding RNA, 1386 nt
Organism: Aplysia californica (California sea hare)
Lineage: Eukaryota; Metazoa; Mollusca; Gastropoda; Aplysiida; Aplysiidae
Exons: 2
Source: RefSeq, a predicted model, not a curated record